This 1476-nucleotide ribosomal RNA is filed under the name Klebsiella pneumoniae. Its description in RNAcentral is "bacterial LSU rRNA". It matches the Rfam family "Bacterial large subunit ribosomal RNA", at positions 1018 to 2478 of the family's 2925-position model. The record is from RNAcentral. Lineage: Bacteria; Pseudomonadati; Pseudomonadota; Gammaproteobacteria; Enterobacterales; Enterobacteriaceae.
GGAAACAACCCAGACCGCCAGCUAAGGUCCCAAAGUCAUGGUUAAGUGGGAAACGAUGUGGGAAGGCACAGACAGCCAGGAUGUUGGCUUAGAAGCAGCCAUCAUUUAAAGAAAGCGUAAUAGCUCACUGGUCGAGUCGGCCUGCGCGGAAGAUGUAACGGGGCUAAACCAUGCACCGAAGCUGCGGCAGCGACACUAUGUGUUGUUGGGUAGGGGAGCGUUCUGUAAGCCUGCGAAGGUGACCUGUGAGGGUUGCUGGAGGUAUCAGAAGUGCGAAUGCUGACAUAAGUAACGAUAAAGCGGGUGAAAAGCCCGCUCGCCGGAAGACCAAGGGUUCCUGUCCAACGUUAAUCGGGGCAGGGUGAGUCGACCCCUAAGGCGAGGCCGAAAGGCGUAGUCGAUGGGAAACAGGUUAAUAUUCCUGUACUUGGUGUUACUGCGAAGGGGGGACGGAGAAGGCUAUGUUAGCCGGGCGACGGUUGUCCCGGUUUAAGCAUGUAGGCUGAUUGUCCAGGCAAAUCCGGAUAAUCAAGGCUGAGGUGUGAUGACGAGGCACUACGGUGCUGAAGUAACAAAUGCCCUGCUUCCAGGAAAAGCCUCUAAGCAUCAGGUAACAUUAAAUCGUACCCCAAACCGACACAGGUGGUCAGGUAGAGAAUACCAAGGCGCUUGAGAGAACUCGGGUGAAGGAACUAGGCAAAAUGGUGCCGUAACUUCGGGAGAAGGCACGCUGGUGUGUAGGUGAAGUCCCUGCGGAUGGAGCUGAGACCAGUCGAAGAUACCAGCUGGCUGCAACUGUUUAUUAAAAACACAGCACUGUGCAAACACGAAAGUGGACGUAUACGGUGUGACGCCUGCCCGGUGCCGGAAGGUUAAUUGAUGGGGUUAUCCGUAAGGAGAAGCUCUUGAUCGAAGCCCCGGUAAAAGGCGGCCGUAACUAUAACGGUCCUAAGGUAGCGAAAUUCCUUGUCGGGUAAGUUCCGACCUGCACGAAUGGCGUAAUGAUGGCCAGGCUGUCUCCACCCGAGACUCAGUGAAAUUGAACUCGCUGUGAAGAUGCAGUGUACCCGCGGCAAGACGGAAAGACCCCGUGAACCUUUACUAUAGCUUGACACUGAACAUUGAGCCUUGAUGUGUAGGAUAGGUGGGAGGCUUUGAAGCGUGGACGCCAGUCUGCGUGGAGCCAACCUUGAAAUACCACCCUUUAAUGUUUGAUGUUCUAACGUUGGCCCCUUACCGGGGUUGCGGACAGUGUCUGGUGGGUAGUUUGACUGGGGCGGUCUCCUCCCAAAGCGUAACGGAGGAGCACGAAGGUUAGCUAAUCCUGGUCGGACAUCAGGAGGUUAGUGCAAUGGCAUAAGCUAGCUUGACUGCGAGCGUGACGGCGCGAGCAGGUGCGAAAGCAGGUCAUAGUGAUCCGGUGGUUCUGAAUGGAAGGGCCAUCGCUCAACGGAUAAAAGGUACUCCGGGGAUAAC